GAUGAAGAACGUAGCGAAAUGCGAUAAGUAGUGUGAAUUGCAGAAUUCAGUGAAUCAUCGAAUCUUUGAACGCACAUUGCGCCCCUUGGUAUUCCAUGGGGCAUGCCUGUUCGAGCGUCAUCUACAACCCUCAAGCCCUGCUUGGUGUUGGGCGUCUGUCCCGCCCCCGCGCGCGGACUCGCCCCAAAUCCAUUGGCGGCGGCCCUUGCCUCCCUCUCGCGCAGCACAUUGCGCUUCUCGAGGCGUCGCGGGCCGCGCUCCACGAAGCACGCAAACCAGUCUUUGACCUCGGAUCAGGUAGGGAUACCCGCUGAACUUAAGCAUAUCAAUAAGCGGAGGC
Molecule: unclassified non-coding RNA, 340 nt
Filed under: soil metagenome
Description: partial contains 5.8S ribosomal RNA, internal transcribed spacer 2, and large subunit ribosomal RNA
Rfam family: 5.8S ribosomal RNA (bases 1-120)
Source: RNAcentral